Non-coding RNA from Pelobates cultripes (western spadefoot toad), 5002 nucleotides. The record is from the annotation of a GenBank genome assembly. Lineage: Eukaryota; Metazoa; Chordata; Amphibia; Anura; Pelobatidae.
UAAUAAUAUAAGCUAUGUUUUUAUUCUGUUCCUAGAUGCCCUCUCAUCUUUAACUACUCUACAUGGAUUCAUCCUUUGUCUUAAUACUGACCACUAAAACUGUAAAGAUUGAGCAUUACCACGAAUUGCUUAGACAAAUUUAAGUAGAACUCUUUUAUUCAACUCACGGCGGUUGUCUAUAGAGUGCAGUGGAUUACAUAUUCUGCUGACUGUACCUGGCUGAACGUUCGCAUUACAUGUUUUACUGAGGACUCAUACCAAGUAUAAGAAGACAUCUGUAUAUCCCAGGCGAAGAUUGUUCCGUCCAUGCACUGUAUCCUAGAGCUGGUUUGAAGCUUCAUUAUAUGCGAGUUCUUUUCUACUUUUAUUCCAGUCCAGAUAGUCAAAUAUACUCCACCUUUGUACUCUGUUUUUGUUUUACAUAUUCACUUAUGCGAAGCACAUCAGCCACCCCACUGCUAUCCUAAAUUCCUGAUCUAGUUUUCAAUUUCUUGUGGACGUGUAUUGUAGUCUUAAUUAUCCUUCCAUUGGUUAAUGGCCCAAGUCCAAGACAUACCUUCAACAUAUUUUAGGUAACAAUCUUUAUUUUCAGUCUCCAUACUUAUUUUCCAUUCACUAUAUUCUUCAAAUAUACAGCUAUCUGGUGCAUUGGUUACUUAAUAAAUGGUCAUUUCUCCUCGUCUGACUAGUUAUAUUUUGAAUUAAUCUUUGAUAUGCUUAUAGAUCAAGAAGGACAUACUUGAAAAUUAGAGAAAUCUCAAUGUAUCCUUCCUGAUAAUAUAUUUUAUAAAUAAAUGUGAAAACAUUUACAAGAAGGACUACGAAUCUGAUAGAAGCAAGUAUGUUUUCACAGGGCUGUAUGUAUAUAAACACACAUACAAGAUCCCCAAUACCAUUCACAGAGCAUAUUCAUCAUAUUUAUACAUAUCAAUUAUAGAUGUAUAGAGAUUUUAACAAAAAUAUAUAAAGUACUCUCAAGACAUAAAACAUCUCAGUCAUAACAAUAACUUUAUAGUUUAAAAUCCAAAUUUAAACAUAAUUACAUAAUAUAUGUAGUAGAAAUUUCUGUGUUUAUUUUUUUUGCGUUUUAAACUUUUUUUGAAAAAACCCAAAACUGUGAAUAAAAAAAAGAAAGUGAACAAAUAAUACCAACGUGAUAUCACAAUCUCGUUCUAACUCACCACUCCCUUAUCCACAUAUAAAGAAUGCUGGUAAAAUAAAAAAUAGAAAUUUACAAAUAAAAAAAGAAGUGUUCAUAGGCAACACUGAAUAUGCUUUAAUAUUUUACUCUUCCUUUUACAGAGGUCUGCAGUACAGUGCCAUGUUAUGAAAACAUCUGCCAACAAACCGGGUUAACAUGUGAUGGGUAUAUUAAGAUUGCUAGAUAAGAGGCACUUAAAGGACCACUAUAGGCACCCAGACCACUUCAGCUUAAUGAAGUGGUUUGGGUGCCAGGUCUAUCUAGUGCUACUGCUAUGUUUAUAAUAGGGUUAAUCCAGCCUCUAGUGGCUGUCUCAUUGACAGCCACUAGAGGCGCUUCUCACUGUGAUUUAUAGCCCGGCGGGAGGGGGGCCCUGAGGGUGGGGGCACCCUCAGGGCACUAAAGUGCCAGGAAAAGUAGUAUAUUUUCCUGGCACUAUAGUGGUUCUUUAAGAGUAGAAGUGUUAACUCUUUUAUAGAAGGAUGUAACUACAAUUAAUUCUUGAAGUUGAUCAUACUAACGAGUCUCAUUUAUGAAUUGCAAUCUGCUAGAAAAGGGAGUGCGUAGCAGACAUGCUAAGAAGGUUGGUAGACAUUCUAAAUGGUACAGAGGACCCAUGUGCUACAUUAAAGCCACAUUUAUUUAAAUGCAUCCUAAUAUAUGCUACUAACCUAAAAUGGCUUACUAAUAAAAUAUUAAAAAAAUAGAUUCAUGUUUGAGUUGGACAUGGACACUAUACUUUUAAUACUUUUUCCCAAGCCAUUUUCUUUCAACUACAUUUCCUCUAAAAUCAUAAAACUUAAUUUUUAGUGUCAUCUGAAUGCAAUACAAUCAGAUUAUUAGAAAGUAUUACAUUACAUACUUGCAGUUCAAGGUGAAAUGAAAACCCAAAAACGUUUCUAAUACAAAGUUAUUUUAACCAGCAGACUCUUUAAAGUAGUUUAAACAAUAUUCCACAAAAAUAUAUAUGUACGUAAGAUAUAGUCAAGAACUUCUGGGCGCAAUUUUAAAACCAAAGUUGUAUUUGUUAUCAAUGUACAAGUGAUUUUUAAGUCAUGAGAGCAAUGCAUUUAAAGGGACACUCCACUGUCCAAAUAACAAAUAACUAAAAAUCCCUAUUUAUUAGAUAUACCCUAAAUGAAAACUUGCAUGCAUUUAAUUAUGUCUUUUUUUUCAUUGGGGGUAUAUCUAAAAUCAGUUUGCAAAACAUGCAGUUCUCUUGUCUGCUGCCUUUGCAAGCUCUCCCCUUCUAACCCCGUCCAGAAUUUCUGUGGAUGUCCAAUGACAGACUUCUCAAUGAGAAGUCUUUGUAAGUUAGGUUCUCGGAGCAAUCCCUGCCUCUUGAGUUCAGCUGCAUUGAGCUAACAAAACCAGGAAGUAAAAUUACCCGUUGUCUGCUUGAAAGUCAAAGGGGUGUAACCAGCUGGAUUUAUAAAAGGGUCAAAUUCAAUUGAAAUCUGCCCUUUUUUUCAAAAUACAAAAAUAAAAAUAUAUUAUUUUUUUAUUUUUUUUAAAGGACACACUCUUUACACAAAGCUUUUCAGCAAGCUAAUGUUGUUUAGGGGUCUGGAGUGACCCUUUAAGAAUUAUUUUUCUACUUCUUAUGUUUACAGAUUGGAAGUUAAAUGUGCAAAUGCAAAAAUAAAAUAUUCAUUAAUUCAGAUUGGAAAGCUUUAAAUAAUGUCUUUGUAUACUAAUCCAACAACAUUAAGUCUUAACACCAAAGAAAGUUUAUGAGAACCACAAUGUACAUGUGACAAUAUAAAGAAGAGGUGAACUUUAUUCACAGGGUUUAAACUACAGUGUUCUCUUAAAAAAUUGUAGAGUAAAAAUGUUUUCAAACUAAAUUAUCCAUGGUGUGUUUUCCUGUGUGUACUGGAUUUAAAAAGUCAGGAAAGACAGAAAAAAGCCAACCCCCACCCCCCAAAAAACCCUUACCUUCAUUCCACUGCCAAGUUCCCCCAGAGGAGCCCCAACCUCCUAACAGUGGCAUUACUCCUCAUUGCAAGAGAGGACUUGGUCACAUGAAGGAGAAUGAGGUGGGGAGUGGACCGGCCAUUGUACCUUAGGACAGCUGUAGCCAGCAUGCUGUGCACAUUAGCCAACUUGGAACUCUUGAUCUGGCUAAUGACAAUCUAAUGAUGCUGUUGAUAGUGAAGUUACAUCUCCAACAGCAAAAGGCUUUAACUCUAAAUGCAGCAUUAGACAUACAAACUCCAGGCACCAUGACCACUUGAAAUCAGUGAAGUGGUCAUAGUGCUUGGAGUAACGGCUUAAACUAUAUUUACAAUCCAAGCCUGAAAUGUUAACGGACAUGCAGUAGCUGACCGUUUAAGAAUCCAUGCACAAAAGGAAAAUGUGAUGAUAUCUAUUAGCCUUUGAUGAAGAAGAAAUACCACAAUACUGUGCUUCUGUGGAUUUUUCCUAAAAAAAUGUUGAUCACAUUUAAUGCAUUAAUACCAUUUUUCUUUCAAAACAUACUUCCUGAUAUUGUAAAUUGCACGCACGCACAUACAUAAUAUCAGAGUAGAACAAUAUUACCUAGAAAAUGUAGUUUUUGAUUCAGAGUAACCAAAUAAUUUAUUACAAAUAUCAAAUGAUGUGUUGGCACUCUACUACAGAGUGGUUCAGGUAUUAGAGGUUACCCUCUGUAGAGACCUCAAACUCAUAUAUAAAAAAAAGUAAAUAUUAAUACCGCACUCAGACAUUCAUUAUGUGUCAAAAAAAUUAUAAUUCAUUGGUUGUAAUGCAAGAAAGUUAAUUUAUUAUUCAAUUAAUAUUGUGGAAAAAUCUCAAAUAAAGGAAGGAACUAAAAUAUUCCCUAUUGAGAGUUCAAUAUAUAAAAUAGUGCAAAAACAGAAGUCACAUUUGAUAUAAUAAAAGUGUUGGGAACACAAAGUAUCAAAAAAUUAUUAAAAGAACAGUAAAACAGUGACUUGUAAUAAAAAUUAAAUAGUCUGGUACCAGGGAUAGAUGGAGUAAAAGUACAGAAAUUAAAUAUGCAUAAAUUAGUUAGGUCCAGCUCAAAACUGGACAAAAAAGGGAGGUCACCAAUCCUCUCUAAAUGGAUAGAUUUAGGUAUAUCAUUAAUAGAAAUAUUCCAGGAGCUAGUCAAAUUGCAGCAAUAGGGAAAUUCAAUAGAUAAGAUGUAACUAGUUAUUCAAAGUAGAUAAAUAUAAAACAACCUUGAGAAAUAGCAAAUAGUUCAUAUACAAAGUCUUGUGAUGGAAAUCGAUAAGUCAAUUAUAAAAUAGAAUAGCUUCUCAUUAAAGUCCAAACGUCCACAAAUUGUAGCAAAGGGGAAUUUCACACAAAACUGUGUAUAUAGAAAAUACACAGCUAUGGAGCCCUAUUGCAAAUACAUUAUAAUUUACUGACACUCUUGAGAGGUGUCUCCUACUGUUAAAGGAGACACCUCUCAAGAGUGAUUGAGCAUCCUGUCGGUACUAUUUUUAUCACUUAUUUUAUCAUUUGUAUGUUACUUUGAUUCAUCCAUUGGAAACUUUAUUUAAGACUUGGAACUUUUUACAGAAGCAUUUCCCUCCUUUUUCUUUAUUCACUACCUUUUUCUACUUUUAGCAAACAGUUAACCAAGGUACUGUAUUGCUUCCUUUUUCUUUGAUUUGCGGUUAUGUUUAUCCUUCAUUUUUAUUUUUUAUAUAGCUAUACAUACUUUGUGGAUCCACCGGACUAACUAUGAACUAUUGAUCUUGAUUUACUAUGAUCACAUUGUAUUUUAGUAAAUUUUUUAUUUUUUUAUUUUUCCACAAUAUUAAUUGAAUAAUAAGUGAACUUUCUUGC